Molecule: ribosomal RNA, 229 nt
Filed under: uncultured bacterium
Lineage: Bacteria
Description: partial 16S ribosomal RNA
Rfam family: Bacterial small subunit ribosomal RNA
Source: RNAcentral
UGCGUAGGCGGAUUAAUAAGUCAGUGGUGAAAACCUGCAGCUUAACUGUAGAACUGCCAUUGAUACUGUUAGUCUUGAGUACGGUCAAGGUAGGCGGAAUGUGUAAUGUAGCGGUGAAAUGCUUAGAUAUUACACAGAACACCGAUUGCGAAGGCAGCUUACUGGACCAUUACUGACGCUGAGGCACGAAAGCGUGGGUAGCGAACAGGAUUAGAUACCCUGGUAGUCC